Molecule: non-coding RNA, 30 nt
Filed under: Rattus norvegicus (Norway rat)
Lineage: Eukaryota; Metazoa; Chordata; Mammalia; Rodentia; Muridae
Source: RNAcentral
UCAAAUGGUGGCAGCUAUGAGUAAGCUAUG